RNAcentral lists this ribosomal RNA (253 nucleotides) under uncultured bacterium. Its description in RNAcentral is "partial 16S ribosomal RNA". It matches the Rfam family "Bacterial small subunit ribosomal RNA", at positions 524 to 776 of the family's 1533-position model. The record is from RNAcentral.
GACAGAGGUGCCGAGCGUUAGGCGGAAUCACUGGGCUUAAAGCGUGUGUAGGCGGAUGCCUAAGUACCUUGUGAAAUCCCACGGCUUAACCGUGGAACUGCUUGGUAUACUGGGUGUCUUGAGCCACUUAGGGGCGACCGGAACAAACGGUGGAGCGGUGAAAUGCGUAGAUAUCGUUUGGAACGCCAAUGGUGAAAACAGGUCGCUGGGAGUGCGCUGACGCUGAGGCGCGAAAGCCAGGGGAGCGAACGGG